GACGAACGCUGGCGGCGUGCUUAACACAUGCAAGUCGAACGGUGAAGCGCCUUCCUUUUUGGUGGGUGUGGAUGAGUGGCGAAAGGGGGAGUAACACGUGAGUAACCUGCCCCCUUCUUCUGGGUAACCGCAUGAAAGGGUGGCUAAUACGGGAUAUUCUGGGUUUUUCGCCUGAUGGGUCUGGGGAAGAUAUUGUUUCGGUGGGGGGUGGGCUCGCGGCCUAUCAGCUUGUUGGGGGGGUGAUGGCCUACCAAGGCGGUGACGGGUAGCCGGCCUGAGAGGGUGGACGGUCACACUGGGACUGAGACACGGCCCAGACUCCUACGGGAGGCAGCAGUGGGGAAUAUGGCACAAUGGGCGCAAGCCUGAUGCAGCGACGCCGCGUGAGGGAUGGAGGCCUUCGGGUUGUGAACCUCUUUCGCCAGUGAAGCAGGCCUGCCUCGUUUGUGGGUGGGUUGACGGUAGCUGGAUAAGAAGCGCCGGCUAACUACGUG
This 494-nucleotide ribosomal RNA is filed under the name uncultured bacterium. RNAcentral's name for it is "partial 16S ribosomal RNA". It matches the Rfam family "Bacterial small subunit ribosomal RNA", at positions 28 to 507 of the family's 1533-position model. The record is from RNAcentral.